GGGGAUGUAGUAUAACCUGGCUAGAAUAAACGGCUCCAGAUGAGUGGAGCGAUGAGUCCUAUAAAUAGGGCGAUGAUCCUCAGGAUAUACCGUUGGAUCUGGGUUCGAAUCCCAGCAUCCCCA
RNAcentral lists this transfer RNA (123 nucleotides) under Candidatus Woesearchaeota archaeon. Its description in RNAcentral is "tRNA-Trp". It matches the Rfam family "tRNA". From Rfam's summary of the family: Transfer RNA (tRNA) molecules are approximately 80 nucleotides in length. The record is from RNAcentral. Lineage: Archaea; Nanobdellati; Candidatus Woesearchaeota.